CCUACGUGUGGCAGCAGUGGGGAAUAUUGCGCAAUGGGCGAAAGCCUGACGCAGCGACGCCGCGUGAGGGAUGAAGGUCUUCGGAUCGUAAACCUCUGUCAGCAGGGAAGAACGGUCACUGUGCUAAUCAGCAGUGAAUUGACGGUACCUGCAAAGGAAGCACCGGCUAACUCCGUGCCAGCAGCCGCGGUAAUACGGAGGGUGCGAGCGUUAAUCGGAAUUACUGGGCGUAAAGCGCUCGUAGGCGGUAUGUCAAGUCAAGGGUGAAAUCCCCGCGCUCAACGUGGGAACUGCCUUUGAAACUGGCAAACUGGAGUGUGUGAGAGGAUAGUGGAAUUCCAGGGGUAGGAGUGAAAUCCGUAGAUAUCUGGAGGAACAUCAGUUGCGAAGGCGACUAUCUGGCACAUAACUGACGCUGAGGAGCGAAAGCGUGGGUAGCAAACAGGAUUAGAUACCCUAGUAGUC
RNAcentral lists this ribosomal RNA (465 nucleotides) under uncultured bacterium. RNAcentral's name for it is "partial 16S ribosomal RNA". It matches the Rfam family "Bacterial small subunit ribosomal RNA", at positions 338 to 795 of the family's 1533-position model. The record is from RNAcentral.